UAGUAUUCAAUUGUCAGAGGUGAAAUUCUUGGAUUUAUUGAAGACUGACUACUGCGAAAGCAUUUGCCAAGGAUGUUUUCAUUAAUCAAGAACGAAAGUUAGGGGAUCGAAGACGAUCAGAUACCGUCGUAGUCUUAACCAUAAACUAUGCCGACUAGGGAUCGGAUGAUGCUAAUUUUUUAAUGACUCA
Molecule: ribosomal RNA, 190 nt
Filed under: uncultured fungus
Lineage: Eukaryota; Fungi
Description: partial 18S ribosomal RNA
Rfam family: Eukaryotic small subunit ribosomal RNA
Source: RNAcentral